This 497-nucleotide ribosomal RNA is filed under the name uncultured bacterium. RNAcentral describes it as "partial 16S ribosomal RNA". It matches the Rfam family "Bacterial small subunit ribosomal RNA", at positions 28 to 507 of the family's 1533-position model. The record is from RNAcentral.
GAUGAACGCUGGCGGCGUGCCUAAUACCUGCAAGUCGAGCGCACGGACGAGAAGCUUGCUUCUCUGAUGUUAGCGGCGGACGGGUGAGUAACACGUGGAUAACCUACCUAUAAGACUGGGAUAACUUCGGGAAACCGGAGCUAAUACCGGAUAAUAUUUUGAACCGCAUGGUUCAAAAGUGAAAGACGGUCUUGCUGUCACUUAUAGAUGGAUCCGCGCUGCAUUAGCUAGUUGGUAAGGUAACGGCUUACCAAGGCAACGAUGCAUAGCCGACCUGAGAGGGUGAUCGGCCACACUGGAACUGAGACACGGUCCAGACUCCUACGGGAGGCAGCAGUAGGGAAUCUUCCGCAAUGGGCGAAAGCCUGACGGAGCAACGCCGCGUGAGUGAUGAAGGUCUUCGGAUCGUAAAACUCUGUUAUUAGGGAAGAACAUAUGUGUAAGUAACUGUGCACAUCUUGACGGUACCUAAUCAGAAAGCCACGGCUAACUACGUG